UUGCUUCAAAUAAGGUUUUSUARUAAAUUAUGUUUUUAUCAGAUAUGACAGAAUCUUUUUUAAAAUCUCUUCAAUAUGCUUUUAUUGCUUCUGAGAGGUUUUGUUACUUUGAGUAAAAUUAAGUGUUCAUAACAGACGGGUAGUCAUGAUUGAGUUCAUUGUGU
RNAcentral lists this ribosomal RNA (164 nucleotides) under Plasmodium falciparum (malaria parasite P. falciparum). RNAcentral's name for it is "partial small subunit ribosomal RNA". The record is from RNAcentral. Lineage: Eukaryota; Apicomplexa; Aconoidasida; Haemosporida; Plasmodiidae.